Podarcis lilfordi (Lilford's wall lizard) is the source of this 81-nucleotide non-coding RNA. Lineage: Eukaryota; Metazoa; Chordata; Lepidosauria; Squamata; Lacertidae. The record is from the annotation of a GenBank genome assembly.
GCCUCAGUUGCUGGAUAGCUCAGUUGAUAGGGCAUAGGACUCUUAAUCUCAGGGCAAUGGGUUCAAUCCCCAUGUUGGGUG